This 725-nucleotide ribosomal RNA is filed under the name uncultured Staphylococcus sp. RNAcentral's name for it is "bacterial SSU rRNA". It matches the Rfam family "Bacterial small subunit ribosomal RNA", at positions 60 to 767 of the family's 1533-position model. Lineage: Bacteria; Bacillati; Bacillota; Bacilli; Caryophanales; Staphylococcaceae. The record is from RNAcentral.
AGUCGAGCGAACAGACGAGGAGCUUGCUCCUCUGACGUUAGCGGCGGACGGGUGAGUAACACGUGGAUAACCUACCUAUAAGACUGGGAUAACUUCGGGAAACCGGAGCUAAUACCGGAUAAUAUAUUGAACCGCAUGGUUCAAUAGUGAAAGACGGUUUUGCUGUCACUUAUAGAUGGAUCCGCGUCGCAUUAGCUAGUUGGUAGGGUAACGGCUUACCAAGGCAACGAUGCGUAGCCGACCUGAGAGGGUGAUCGGCCACACUGGAACUGAGACACGGUCCAGACUCCUACGGGAGGCAGCAGUAGGGAAUCUUCCGCAAUGGGCGAAAGCCUGACGGAGCAACGCCGCGUGAGUGAUGAAGGUCUUCGGAUCGUAAAACUCUGUUAUUAGGGAAGAACAAAUGUGUAAGUAACUAUGCACGUCUUGACGGUACCUAAUCAGAAAGCCACGGCUAACUACGUGCCAGCAGCCGCGGUAAUACGUAGGUGGCAAGCGUUAUCCGGAAUUAUUGGGCGUAAAGCGCGCGUAGGCGGUUUUUUAAGUCUGAUGUGAAAGCCCACGGCUCAACCGUGGAGGGUCAUUGGAAACUGGAAAACUUGAGUGCAGAAGAGGAAAGUGGAAUUCCAUGUGUAGCGGUGAAAUGCGCAGAGAUAUGGAGGAACACCAGUGGCGAAGGCGACUUUCUGGUCUGUAACUGACGCUGAUGUGCGAAAGCGUGGGGA